This 357-nucleotide ribosomal RNA is filed under the name uncultured rumen bacterium. Its description in RNAcentral is "bacterial SSU rRNA". It matches the Rfam family "Bacterial small subunit ribosomal RNA", at positions 19 to 363 of the family's 1533-position model. The record is from RNAcentral.
UUGGCUCAGGAUGAACGCUGGCGGCGUGCCUAACACAUGCAAGUCGAACGGUGUAAUGAUUGAAGUUUUCGGACAGAUUUCAUUACAUAGUGGCGGACGGGUGAGUAACGCGUGGAGAACCUGCACUGUACUGGGGGAUAGCAGCUGGAAACGGCUGGUAAUACCGCAUGAGACCACGGAAGGGCAUCCUUCUGAGGCAAAAGAUUUAUCGGUACAGGAUGGAUCCGCGUUUGAUUAGCCAGUUGGCGGGGUAACGGCCCACCAAAGCGACGAUCAAUAGCCGGCCUGAGAGGGCGGACGGCCACAUUGGGACUGAGACACGGCCCAGACUCCUACGGGAGGCAGCAGUGGGGAAUA